GAGAGAGAAUGGAGAGAGGGAGAGGAGAGAGAAUGGAGAGAGGGAGGCAGAGAGAGAAUGGAGAGAGGAAGGCAGGGAGAGAAAGAGAGGGGGGCAGAGAGAGAGAAAGAGAGGGAGAGGAGAGAGAAUGGAGAGAGGGAGAGGAGAGAAAAUGGAGAGAGGGAGGCAGAGAGACAAUGGAGAGAGGCAGGCAGAGAGAGAAAGAGAGGGAGGCAGAGAGAGAAGAGAGGGAGGCAGAGAGACAAUGGAGAGAGGGAGAGGAGAGAGAAUGGAGAGAGACAGGCAGAGUGAGAAAGAGAGGGAGAGGAGAGAGAAUGGAGAGAGGGAGGCAGAGAGAGAAAGAGAGGGAGAGGAGAGAGAAUGGAGAGAGACAGG
Molecule: long non-coding RNA, 375 nt
Organism: Oncorhynchus tshawytscha (Chinook salmon)
Lineage: Eukaryota; Metazoa; Chordata; Actinopteri; Salmoniformes; Salmonidae
Source: Ensembl